RNAcentral lists this ribosomal RNA (253 nucleotides) under uncultured bacterium. Its description in RNAcentral is "partial 16S ribosomal RNA". It matches the Rfam family "Bacterial small subunit ribosomal RNA", at positions 524 to 776 of the family's 1533-position model. The record is from RNAcentral.
UACGUAGGGUGCGAGCGUUGCCCGGAUUUAUUGGGCGUAAAGGGCGCGUAGGCGGCUCGGCACGUCCGUUGUGAAAUCGCUCGGCUCAACUGGGCGAGGUCAGCGGAUACGGUCGAGCUUGAGCCAGCUAGGGGGCAAUGGAAUUCCCGGUGUAGUGGUGGAAUGCGCAGAUAUCAGGAGGAACACCGGUGGCGAAGGCGGGUCUCUGGGCCGGAACUGACGCUGAGGAGCGAAAGCGUGGGGAGCGAACAGG